GGAGUAUGGACCGUGUCUCAGUUCCAUUGUGGCCGUUCAUCCUCUCAGACCGGCUACCGAUCGUCGGCUUGGUGGGCUUUUAUCUCACCAACUACCUAAUCGGACGCAGGCUCCUCGCAAAGCGAUAAAUCUUUAAUGCAGAAUUCAUGCGAACUCCGCACAACAUUCGGUAUUAGCGUCCCUUUCGGAACGUUGUCCCCAACUUCGCGGCAGAUUACCUGCGCUUUACUCACCCGUUCGCCACUAGCACCGAAGUGCCCGUUCGACUUGCAUGUGUUAAGCACGCCGCCAGCGUCGUCCUCGAGCCACGGAUCAACUACU
Molecule: ribosomal RNA, 321 nt
Filed under: uncultured Coriobacteriales bacterium
Lineage: Bacteria; Bacillati; Actinomycetota; Coriobacteriia; Coriobacteriales
Description: partial 16S ribosomal RNA
Source: RNAcentral